This 844-nucleotide ribosomal RNA is filed under the name uncultured Alphaproteobacteria bacterium. Its description in RNAcentral is "bacterial SSU rRNA". It matches the Rfam family "Bacterial small subunit ribosomal RNA", at positions 11 to 901 of the family's 1533-position model. Lineage: Bacteria; Pseudomonadati; Pseudomonadota; Alphaproteobacteria. The record is from RNAcentral.
GUUUGAUCCUGGCUCAGAACGAACGCUGGCGGCAGGCCUAACACAUGCAAGUCGAACGGCUGUAGCAAUACAGCAGUGGCGCACGGGUGAGUAACGCGUGGGAACGUGCCUUUUGGUACGGAAUAACGUCGGGAAACUGACGCUAAUACCGUAUACGCCCUCCGGGGGAAAGAUUUAUCGCCAAAAGAUCGGCCCGCGUCAGAUUAGCUAGUUGGUGGGGUAAUGGCCUACCAAGGCUCCGAUCUGUAGCUGUUCUGAGAGGAAGAUCAGCCACACUGGAACUGAGACACGGUCCAGACUCCUACGGGAGGCAGCAGUGGGGAAUAUUGGGCAAUGGGGGAAACCCUGACCCAGCCAUGCCGCGUGAAUGAUGAAGGCCUUAGGGUUGUAAAGUUCUUUUGCAGGGGACGAUGAUGACGGUACCCUGAGAAUAAGCUCCGGCUAACUUCGUGCCAGCAGCCGCGGUAAUACGAAGGGAGCUAGCGUUGUUCGGAAUUACUGGGCGUAAAGCGUGCGCAGGCGGCUUUUUAAGCCAGAGGUGAAAUGCCGGGGCUCAACCCCGGAACUGCCUUUGGAACUGGAAAGCUAGAGUCUCGGAGGGGUUAGCGGAAUUCCUAAUGUAGCGGUGAAAUGCGUAGAUAUUAGGAGGAACACCAGCGGCGAAGGCGGCUAACUGGACGAGUACUGACGCUCAUGCACGAAAGCGUGGGAAUCAAACAGGAUUAGAUACCCUGGUAGUCCACGCCCUAAACGAUGAGUGCUAGCCGUUGGGGGGUUACCCUUCAGUGGCGCAGCUAACGCGUUAAGCACUCCGCCUGGGGAGUACGGCCGCAAGGUUGAAACU